This 249-nucleotide ribosomal RNA is filed under the name uncultured Bacillota bacterium. Its description in RNAcentral is "uncultured Firmicutes bacterium partial 16S ribosomal RNA". It matches the Rfam family "Bacterial small subunit ribosomal RNA", at positions 796 to 1041 of the family's 1533-position model. Lineage: Bacteria; Bacillati; Bacillota. The record is from RNAcentral.
CACGCUGUAAACGAUGAAUGCUAGGUGUAGGGGGUAUCGACCCCCCCUGUGCCGGAGUUAACACAAUAAGCAUUCCACCUGGGGAGUACGGUCGCAAGACUGAAACUCAAAGGAAUUGACGGGGGCCCGCACAAGCAGUGGAGUAUGUGGUUUAAUUCGACGCAACGCGAAGAACCUUACCAAGGCUUGACAUCCUCCGAAUCGGAUCGAAAGGUUCGAGUGCCCUUCGGGGAGCGGAGAGACAGGUGG